CGCGUGAAGACUCCAUUUUCUAUUUUCAGUGUUUGAACGAAAACAAGGUCUCCCGGUCGGAAUAUUAUCGCUAUUUUACGAGAAAAAUCGCAUAAAAAUAGAUUUUAAACAGCGUUUGACAUGCUUCGAAGGACGGUAAUGGAAUAUUUAGAAUUUUUUUGUCACGAUAUGCGCCGGCGCGUCACCCUUCGGAUAGUGUCUUGAACGCAAGAACAAAACGCAGCUAUUUGGAUAUAACUAUGGAUUAUUUGGAACCAAAACAACAUUGGGUGUUGAAGUAGAAGUCCUGGGAGUGCAUUCUGACGAAGAACAGCAAAGGAAAAAGAUACCUUCAUCCUCUCACAACACAGAAAGGCUUGAUUGAGAGAGAUGAGAAAGGGACUGGUACAGACGUAACUUCAAAAUCACCUAGCUUACGGCAGAAUGGCUUUCCACGACAUCUGGAUAAUGCUUACAGAGAGAAGAGGCUGGAAGAAAGGAGGCCCUACCAGAUGAUAAUCCUAUUUGCCACAUCUUCAGUUUAAGCCUACUGGAGAGUGUGUGCCCUCAGGCCUGGAAGGAAGCUAAAGUCAUUCCGCUACCCAAGAAUAGUAAAGCCCCCUUUACUGGCUCAAAUAGCCAACCAAUCAGCCUGUUACCAACCCUUAGUAAACUGCUGGAAAAAAUGGUGUUUGACCAGAUACAAUGAUAUUUUACAGUAAACAAAUUGUUAUGGCUUUACACCCCCUGCGAUGAUGUGGAUAAAGAGUUACUUGUCUAACAGAACACACAGGGUGUUCUUUAAUGGAAGCCUUUCAAAUAUAAUCCAGUUGGAAUCCGGAAUUCCCCAGGGUAGCUGUUUAGGCCCCUUGCUUUUUUUCCAUUCCUACCAACGACAUGCCACUUACUUUGAGUAAAGCCAGAGUGUCUAUGUAUGCGGAUGACUCAACACUAUACAUGUCAGCUACUACAGCGACUGAAAUGACCGCAACACUCAAAGAGCUGAAGUUAGUUUCAGAGUGGGUGGCAAAGAAUAAGUUAGCCCUAAAUAUUUCUAAAACUAAAAGCAUUGUAUUUGGAACUAAACCCUAAACCUAAACUACAUCUUGUAAUAAAU
This 1096-nucleotide long non-coding RNA is filed under the name Salmo salar (Atlantic salmon). Its description in RNAcentral is "lncRNA (ENSSSAG00000097617.1)". The record is from RNAcentral. Lineage: Eukaryota; Metazoa; Chordata; Actinopteri; Salmoniformes; Salmonidae.